RNAcentral lists this long non-coding RNA (575 nucleotides) under Elaeis guineensis (African oil palm). RNAcentral's name for it is "long non-coding RNA (EGUI_LNC057578)". Lineage: Eukaryota; Viridiplantae; Streptophyta; Magnoliopsida; Arecales; Arecaceae. The record is from RNAcentral.
UGUGGAUGACUCCUAGAGAUCGGACAUGUGUGCAAUUUGCAAAAUCAUCCUUAAGUCCGGAUCAGUAAGGUUAAAAUAUCUAACUUGCAAGGUAAUAGAUCUGAUCUAUUGUUUAAUACAUACAUUAGAUGUAGUAUAGAAACAUGUUGAUAUGAUCAACAUGUAGCUCAUGCUCUAUAUAUUUUUAUUUUAAUUUAAUACUAUAUAAUAAUCAUGUAAUAGGAUCUUAGAUUUAGAGAUUAUCUAAUUUUAGAAAAUAAAUUUUGAUUUAUUUUAGUCUUCCACUGCCUGAUCUUGAAAAAUUUCAAGAUCUAACCCUGAAACCCUAGAUCUGGUUCCUACACUAAGAACAUGCUUAAUUUUUUGAUUGAACAAAAGUGCCACUAGGCACUAUGUAUCAAUCCUAAAGCAUCACUUUAUCCAUUAGGCUUGAAGACUCGUUCCAUGUGAAACUCUUUUGUCUAUGAGGUAAACAACCAUAUAUGAGGCUUUUGUUUUUGAUAAAAUGGAUCAUUCAUACAGUUCUUAUUGUAAAUACAUCCAAAAGAGUCAGAAAAUAAAAAAUCUCAGAGUGG